RNAcentral lists this long non-coding RNA (1866 nucleotides) under Capsella rubella. Its description in RNAcentral is "long non-coding RNA (CRUB_LNC002444)". The record is from RNAcentral. Lineage: Eukaryota; Viridiplantae; Streptophyta; Magnoliopsida; Brassicales; Brassicaceae.
UCCUUCUUACUUGGUUUCAUAUUUUACAAAUGACGAGUACAAUGUUCUUUAGUUCUGUUCUUCCACUUGAGUCCUCUCACUCUACACUUCUCAUUAGCCGAGAGAAUUAGACAUAAAGCAUCAUCUUCUUACAAGGUAAGAUAUUCUCUGGUCUAAUUCUCUAGUUUUGUUUACCUGUUCUCUUUCAUCUUGUAAUAAUAAUUUAUGGACUUGAACGUAAAAUUUAAAUGCUCUGCUUUUUUAAUCUAAUUUUGUAUGUAUAUAUAUUGCUGGCGAAACUUUAACGAUGUGGACAAUAAACGUUAACUUUUUUUAGUUAUAUAUAUAUAUAUAUAUAUAUAUAUAUAUAUAUAUAUAUAUAUAUAUAUAUAUUGUAUUUGUCUGAGAAAACAUAGAAUGAGGUCUUUUAUUUGGAAUUGAAAAAUAAGAAAGAAAGAAUUUGUUUUUUUUUUCUUCUUGAAAUUAAAGAAGAAGGUGUUGACAUUUAAAAUGCUUUCAAUUUUUAUGUAAUGCAUGUAAUGUAUUGACAAACGAAACAAAAAACGAUUGUAAUGAAUGGUUGUUUUUUUUGGUUAAUUAUUUAUUGCAGAGAGUUUGAAGAACGGAAACCCAAGAAACCUUUGGGACUGUGUGGCGUUUUCCCCAUCAAGCUUGGCAAGACUUUGUUGAAAGUUGACUAGACGAUAUAUAUUGUGCAUGUAGCUAGUUGCAAUAUCUGUAUUUUCUUUUUCUCUUUCCUGAUAACUGAUGGAUGGAGUGUGUAGGGUAAAUGAAUGUUAGGCAUAGAGAGUGUAUGAAGGUAAUGUAGGUAUAGAUGAAUGUUAAGAUGUGAAGGUAUAAAUGAAUGUUAGGAUGUGUGGAGGCAUAGAUGAAUGUUAGGAUGUGAAGGUAUAGAUGAAUGUUAGGAUGUGUGAAAGUAUGGAUGAAUGUUAGGAUGUGAAGGCAUAGAUGAAUGUUAGGAUGUGAAGGCAUAGAUGAAUGUUAGGAUGUGUGAAAGUAUGGAUGAAUGUUAGGAUGUGAAAGUAUAGAUGAAUUUUAGGAUGUGUGAAGGCAUAGAUGAAUGUUAUGAUGUGUGAAAGUAUGGAUGAAUGUUAGGAUGUGAAGGUAUAUAUUAAUGUUAGGAUGUUAAAGCAUAGAGUAAUGAUAGUAUGUGGAGGCAUAGAUGAAUGGCUUAGUAUAUAUGAAUGUAAGGAUGUUAAGGUAUAGAUGAAUGUUAAAAUGUGAAGCUGUGAAUGAAUGUUAGGAUGUUUGUACGCAUAGAUGAAUGUUAGGAUGUGAAGGUAUAGAUGAAUGUUAGGAUGUUAAGGUAUAGAUGAAUGUUAGGAUGUGAAGGUAUAGAUGAAUGUUAGGAUGUGUGAUGGCAUAGAUUAAUGGCUUAGUAUAGAUGAAUGAAUGUAAGGAUGUUAAGGGAUAUAUGAAUGUUAAAAUGUUAAGGUAUAGAUGAAUGUUAGGAUGUUAAGGCAUAGAUGAAUGUUAGGAUGUUAAGGCAUAGAUGAAUGUUAGGAUGUGAAGGUAUAGAUGAAUGUUAGGAUGUGUGAUGGCAUAGAUUAAUGGCUUAGCAUAGAUGAAUGAAUGUAAGGAUGUUAAGGGAUAUAUGAAUGUUAAAAUGUUAAGGUAUAGAUGAAUGUCUUAGGGUGUGUAAGCAUAGAUGAAUGUCUUAUAUUAGGAUGUGAAGUAUGAAUGAAUGUUAGGAAGUGUAGAUAAUGUAGGGGUGUGAAUAUAUAGAUGAAUGUAAGGAUGUGAAGUCAUAUUAUUUAUGUCUUAAGGAGUGAAAUAGCUAAUGGAUGAUGUGAAUAGAAGUGAAAUGACAGUGCGCAAAAAGGCUAAUCAACAUGCCAAAAAUAAAAUAAAAAACAUUAAUGCAAA